GGGCUCACACAAGCGGUGGAGGAUGUGGCUUAAUUCGAGGCUACGCGAAGAACCUUAUCCUAGUCUUGACAUGCACGGAUCAACCCCAUGAAAGUGGGGCCACAGCCGCAAGGUCGGAACGUGCACAGGUGCUGCAUGGCUGUCGUCAGCUCGUGUCGUGAGAUGUCGCGUUAAGUCGCUUAACGAGCGAAACCCCUGUCCCUAGUUGCCAGCGGGGAUUCGUCUGCCGGGGACUCUAGGGAGACUGCCGGUGUUAAACCGGAGGAAGGUGGGGAUGACGUCAAGUCCUCAUGGCCUUUAUGACUAGGGCUGCACACGUCCUACAAUGGCGCGCACAAAGGGAUGCAAAGCCGCGAGGUAGAGCAAAUCCCAAAAAACGCGCCUCAGUUCGGAUUGCAGGCUGCAACUCGCCUGCAUGAAGCCGGAAUCGCUAGUAAUCGCGGGUCAGCAUACCGCGGUGAAUGUGUUCCUGAGCCUU
This 478-nucleotide ribosomal RNA is filed under the name uncultured bacterium. RNAcentral's name for it is "bacterial SSU rRNA". It matches the Rfam family "Bacterial small subunit ribosomal RNA", at positions 917 to 1382 of the family's 1533-position model. The record is from RNAcentral.